Molecule: long non-coding RNA, 11566 nt
Filed under: Brassica rapa (field mustard)
Lineage: Eukaryota; Viridiplantae; Streptophyta; Magnoliopsida; Brassicales; Brassicaceae
Description: long non-coding RNA (BRAP_LNC007289)
Source: RNAcentral
ACUGAUAUUGAUAUUGCUAAUGUUAGUUUGAUAUAAGACAUCAUGCUACAAUGUUUAAAGAUAUAACUGGUUAGAGAAAAGUACACGGGAAGAAGUGUUGUGAUGUUGCAUUGCAUCUAAUGGCAUUUUCCCGUUAGAAUGUCUAGCAUAUCAUUUUCCAUUUCCUUUCAUAAGAGACUUGAUUUAAUCAGAUUUGCUCACUUCUAAAAAUAAAGCACAUAAUGUAACCCUCACGAGUUGUUUCAUAUUGCAUUAUACUGGUCGAAGGUGAGAAUCAAUGCUUCUUAUAUUCUGUGACUAAAAGUAUUGCCACAUAUGGAAACUCGUACGCUCUUCUGGAUCCUUGGCCUAAACACAAACCGUUGCUACGUUUUCCUAUAAUAUUAAUGUUUUGAUUUGAUAGUUCAACAUAUGUAACAAAACUACAUGGUUAAUUAGGUGCAAUAAUUUUUUUUCCCCCAUGUUUUUGUCCCAAAAACACUUUUCGGAUCAUUACCGUUUUCUGAUAUCUUGUAGGGCAUAUUUUAGAUAUGGGUUCAAUCAAAAGCUGUCCUUUUGAAUGCAACAAGACGGACCCGUCAUACUCAUUCGCGUUGGCAUCUGUUAAGUGGAGUCUACGGUAUGUGAAUCACAACUCUUUGAGUUCAUUGAUAACGAUAUAUACAUAUAUAUUGGAGAGAGAUUUUUUUAUUCCUUUGGUUUGCCAAAAAAGACACCAUAAAAGUAGAAAGCUUGAGAAACUUUGCUUUGCUUUAGCUUCUUGAUUAUGUUCUUUACUCGAAACUACAAAGUUAAGAGAAUAGUCACGUCAGGGGCAGAUGAAAAAGCUCUAUCACAAACUCUACAUUUGUGUUCUAUGAUGGACCACUCCACUCUCUUUGUUUCUCUCUCUACACCAUUUUGUCUUGUACAUUGUCUUCACUUACCCAUACGCACCAAAUCAUCAUCUGAGCUUAUUUCCAUCUUGAGCUAUAUUAUUCUUUGUUAAAAUCUUGAGUUUUUUUUUACCAUUGUAUGGAGAUGAGUCAACUAAAAAAUUUCUAUUCAUCAAGAUGUGUUUUUAUGAUCCUAUUUUGAAAAUUUCUAUUUGAGUCGCUGAGUGAUAUUAAUUGAAUAUUCAUUACUAUGUCCGACUGACCAUUUGUCUGGAAAUUUGUCUGAAUUUUGUCCGAAACAAUUAUGUUAAUUGGAAGCUGAAUCUUCAAAGACAUAUAAUAGCAUGUGGACACGUGAAAUGAUAAAAUUCGUUUCUAUCAUUUACGCACGCUUGGAAAAAAAAACAUAUAAUUGAGUUCUUAUUAUAUAUGAGUGAUGAGCAUCAGAAACAUCAUCAAAUGUUAACGAAAUAAAUUACGUUAACGUACGUAAGAUCCACACAUCGUACAUUUUCUCAUUCACAUACCUACCAGUUUUUCUUUCUCUAAAAGUUCAUAACAUUCUUAAAUUUUACUAAAUGAACUGGUUAAAACAUGUGUGGAAUAGAUAUUAUAGUUUUUUUUUCUGUGACGUUAAAGAUUAAGAUCAAGACUCACAUGAUCUUGCACAUUAGGACUCAAACCGUACCGGUAUGAAGACAUGCGGUUCUGAGCUGCGGAGCCACCCACUUGUAACGGUGGAUGCGGCUGAGAACCAGCCAAGGAUGAUAAAAUUGAGUUAUCAGAAGAGACAUGACUAGUAAACGCAGCGUUUGGGUUAUAAACGCCUCUAAAGCUGGAAGAUGAACGCCAUAGUCCUAAUGGACUCCCAUUGAUCGGCCGUGUGUGAAACGAGGACGACGGUCCUGAACCUGGAAUGUUUCCUCCAUAGAACCUAGCGGCCGGUAAAGAUGUGCUGCUCCACGACGGGUAGUGACGGUAACCAUAUAGAUUAGCGUCGGGAUGGUGGAAAUAAGAGGACGCACCGCGUUUGGCGAGCUGGCGUUCUCUUUUGUGAGCGUUUUGGUGUCCACCUAGGGCUUGUGAAGUAGGGAAGUUUCUAAAACAAUAGUGACACUCGAAUCUCCUGUUGUUGUUGCUUCUGCUAUUGUCUUUACCGUUAUCUCCGGUUUGGUCGUCUUCUGCUACUUCUUCAUCUUCUUUGUGUUUGGUCUCGGAGUGGUCUUGUUGACUGGUGGUACCGGAGUAUUCUCCAGUGGUGAAAUCUUUGCCGAAGAGACGAACGGGUUUAGGGUUCUUGUCUUUGGAGGGAGGACGACGGAAGAAAGGAAGUUGAGAGAAAGAUUCAACGUUCAUGAAAUCUUUAGUUUCUCUUUCUGCAUUUCUUUCGUCCAUUGAGCGAGAGAUAGAUAGGAGCGAUACUUGAAUAUUGGAGUUGUGAGACUGUGACUGUUCCAGAGAGAAAGACAACGUUUAUAUAGAACUGACUGUUUCCCAUUUUCUUGUUGUAUUAUUUCGUUUGACAGAAGGUUGAUAACAUCUAAUUAUUUUCUAAAAGGUUGAUAGUUUUUUUUAAAACAUCUGGGACGAAAGUAAUCUCAAAGAGAACUUAUCAACGCUUACUCUAGUCUAAUUUUUUUAAUGAAGUUUAAAAUAUGAUUCUAUUAACUAAACAAUAUCAACUAAGCUUCUGACCAAAUUUGAAUAAAAAAUCGAUGGGUUUAUUUAUAUCUUGCCUCUCAAGUUCUUCUUCUUACCACUAUACUACCGCUGCUGAUUGAUGGUUUAACCAUUUUAUUUUAAGAGUGGUGAACAUAUAUGUUACUGUUAGUUAGUAAGGCCAAAAACUUAGUUGAGUUUCUUCAUUUAAUGUUUUACUAGAUUUUGACCCGCGCUUUUUGAAGCGCGAGUUUUUUCCGAUUAAGAAUAUUGUUUGAUUUGAAUUAUUAUUUUGUUUUUGAUGGUUUGAAGUAUAUUAUUAAGUUAUAAAGUGUUAUUAUAUCGAAAAAGUAAAAGAAUUUUAGUUUAAAAUUAUAUAAUUUAUCAAAUAGUUUAUUUUAGAUUUUAUAUGUGUAUUCUUAUAUUACAACGUCAUCGUUGCAUUUUGUGUGUAUUUUUAAGAGUUAUAUUUGUUGAGUUGAUGAGACAAAAAAUUUACUUGGCAGAUUUUGGGCUAAUCUAAUAGUAUAUAUAUUAUAGAAUUUUUAAUAGUUUUAGCAGUAUUUUCAUACCCGAACCAAACCUAAAGUCUCAGAAGUAAAUCAGGUGAUUCAUAUAAAUUUGGUCUGAAUUUUGUUAAAACUUUAUAUAUAAAAAUCUGAUAAAAGUCGGUAAAAACGUAAAAAGUAUCAUUAACCUGCUAUCCAAUAUUGGUUGACCCGAUAAAAUCCCAUAUAAAUUGGAUGAUAUUUUUUCAAAACUCAAUUCAAACUUUUGAAUCAAGCUUUGAAGCACGGGGUUAAUACUUUUUCAAAAGAGAAAAAUCUUGUUUAACUUAGGUAUUCCAAACCUAGUGAAGAGUUUAUACAAAUCUCAAUGUGUUUAGUGUAUAAUAUAUGAUUGAAUAACCCGCAGAAACCUGCAAGCUUGAAACUCAAAUAAUAUAAAUAUUAAUUCUGGACCUUAUUAUAUUUGUAAAUUUAUUUUGUUAUUUAAAUUGAAUUACAGAAGUGGACUUGUAUUUGAGCAUCUUUUAUACUAAACAUUAUUUGUUGCCCAAAAAAAAAAUACUUAUCAUUAUUUUGGAUUUUAGUAAUUGUGCUUCAUAAGUCAAAAUCAAAACUUAUUUUUUUAUAAAAAAAAAGAGAGAAUAUGGAGCAAUAUUUUCAAAAUUAUUUGUAUUUUCUAAUUUUCCAUAAUAUAGUUUAAGUGGUUGUAUCUGAAUUAUAGUAAAACUGAAUUUUUAAUAUAGUAUUAUUUUCUGUAUCAUCAUUUUUCAAUAAUUUCUGAGUAAUAGUAUUUAAAAAUAUAAUUAAUUUUUAAGUUUGUAAUUUAUCAUCAUUAACUACUAAAAAUAUCUUAAAAUAAAACUGUAUUUUAAACAAUUAAAAAUAUUUAUCUUUCUGGAACAAAAAGAAUAUAUUACUAACACUUUGGAUCACAUUAUUACUGGGAACAACAAUAAGAUAUCAUGAUCGAGAAUUAAGGAAAUAGACACAACAUUUAUGGAGAAAACAAAAUAGGGAAAAUUGUUUUUUUAGAGCAAAAAAAUAUAAACAUUGUCCUAAUAGAAUAAUCCCAACCUAUAAUUGUCUCAUUAAGCUAAUAAUUUUGAAAAUCCCAGUUUAGUCCUUCGAAAUACAAUUUUAAAACUAACUGUAAUACAUUAAAUUAAUAUAUAAUAUACAGAACCAAUUAAAAAAAAUUUAAAAAAAAAAUUCCCAAAUCAAAACCCCUAACCCUAAUUAUUUCAGUCUCGUUCUCUAGGCCUCUCUAAUUCUGGUGGGGACAAAGUCAACAGGUCUCUAUUGGUGGGGAGACAAAGAUACCGACUCAAAUCUCGUCUUCUCCGGCGUAAAUCUCUUCUUCUCCGGCUUAAUAUCUUCUUCUCCGGCUUAAUCUCUUAUUCUCUCAUGUAAAACGAAGGUAACAUCGACACUUCUCAUUCCUAUUUUGUUUUAAAUCUUCUUUGCAUGUUCUUUAAUCGAUAAUAGUUCUGUGAAAAGCAAAUAGAUUAGUGCUUCUGUAUAUUUUUUUGUGUUCUUAUCAAUCGAUUUAAGAACACACGAGUUUGUUAUAUGUGUUUGUGUUUCUGUUGUUAUCAAUUUGUGAUUACCAUAAGAACCUACAGUUAAUCUAUGUUACAUGUGUAUGUAAUCUUAUCAAUUUGCUUUACCAUACGGGUUUGUCAAUCGAUAUUUUUAAGAGAUUGGUUAGUUUUGAUUUUGUGUCAUUGUUGUUGAUGUUGGUAUCGCCAGCGCAGACACUAGAAGAUAUGUAAUUUGGCACUAAUCCUGGUACUAUCGGGUUAAUGGGUCAGUUCACCAAACCGUUGGAUCAUCUGAGUUUGUACUUAUGAAGGAGAUUGGAUGCUCGUUGGUGAUGUUCCAUGGAGGUAAAAGAACUAAAAACCAUCUCUUAAUGUCUGAUGAAUGAUUUACAAUGAUCUAAUCUGGGUUUUGUAUAUAUCUUAGAAUGCUCAUCACCUCGGUGAAAAGGCUUCGUGUGAUGAAAACGUCUGAAGCUAAUAGUCUCGGUACGUAGACUAUCUUGUCUUGACUUAUGACAUUGUUUGUUGAAACAUAUAAUGAAAAACUUGAACUAAAACAUCUUAGUAUAUAAUAUGCAGGAUACUUGUGAAGCAAGUAAAAGGAAGAAACAGAAGCUAGGUUGAUCUUAUUCAGUUUGUGAUGUUUCAUUGGUUCUUCUAAUGUUCUUUAAGGGUUUUUUUUUGGCUUGAUGUCUUUUGUUUUACUGUUGCUAUUACUAUGGAAGAGAAUGCUCUUUAUUUGUUUUACUACACUGUAAAUAUUUGAAGCUUGUCUAAUAUCAUUUUGUGGGUUUAGUUUAUGAGUUCACUAACUGAUCCAAGAAACAGAUCCACAUGACAUCAAAUGUGUUAACAUAUUUACUUUAGUGCUUGACGUUUCAAUCUCAUGGGAUUCUGAGGACAUUCGAAAUUAAUGAUAUAGGCCCCGAACACUAAAUCAUAUUAUACAUAUAUCAUCCUGAGCACGAAGAAGAAUCUGAUGGAAGAUUCAUACAAACAGACAAGAGUUAGGUAGAUAGAUUGUACCAACCAUAUGAAAAAGCUCCUAACUUUGUGAAAAAUCAAAGGAAAAUUUAGGUAUUUUGAGAAGAAAGGCCAAUAAGUGUUUUUUUUUCAAAAAGAAAGGCUAGUAAGUGAUCUUUUAUUAACAAAUUCGAUUUUUCAAAAAUGGUAACAUAAUAUUUCCACAUAUAUUUGUUUUUUUUGUUUAAAAAAAAAUCGGUUUUCAAAAUAGGAAACUGAAUAUUUCCAAAUAUUUUUUUUCCUUAUUUUUCGAAACAGAUUAUUCUUAUCCGUAGAAUACAGUUAAUCUGUAGAAAUUGAUUUUCUACAUAUUUUUUAGAAUUUUUGUAAUGUGUAGAUUUUGAUUUCUACAUGUUUUAGAUUUACAGUAAAUCUGUAGAAGUCAGUUUAUACUUGUUUUAGAUUUAUAGUAAAUAUGUAGAAGUUGGUUUCUACAUGUUUUAGAUCGGUAGGUUAAGCGCGGAAUGUGUAUUCUAAAUAUUUUUAGAAUACUCUUAUUUACGUAGAUCAUGUAUUCUAAACAUUGUAGAUUCAAUGAAAAAAGUGGAUUUUGUUUUCUACUUUGUAGAAUGUCAAUUCUACUUUAUUUAGAACAUAAUUUGAAAUUAUGAUUUAAACAUUUCUAGAACUGAAAAAAAUACCACUAAGUUCAUAUAGGUAUUUUAUUAGUAGUUACUAUUUUUCCAUUUUUUUUUGUUUGUAAAACUAUUUAUUUAAUUUAUUUUCAGAAAUAUUAAAGGAUAUUAUAGGUAAAAAUGGUACAAAUAUGAGAUUAGUCUAAAGGGACACAGUUUCCAUUUUUUUGCUCUAAAAAACAAUUUUCCCAACAAAAUAUCACAGUAAAUUUGUGAUAUAGUAAAACGAGUUGGAAUUAUGUAAAUAUGUUCAUUACCAAAGUACGUGAAGUUAGGUUUAGACUCUUUAAGCGCAUAUAACUCUCUCUCUCUCUCUCUCUCUCUCUCUCUCUCUCUCUCUCUCUCUCUCUCUCUCUCUCUCUCUCUCUCUCUCUCUCUCUCUCUCUCUCUCUCUCUCUCUCUCUCUCUCUCUCUCUCUCUUCUCUCUCUCUCUCCUCUCUCUCUCUUCUCUCUCUCUCUCUCUCUCUCUCUCUCUCUCUUCUCUCUCUCUCUCUCUCUCUCUCUUCUCUCUCUCUCUCUCUCUCUCUCUCUGCUCUCUCUCUCUCUCUGGAAGAGAGUACUUAUUACAUAAAUGAAGUGGUCCUUACAUGCUGAUCAUUCAAUGUUGCUAAACAGAUUGUUGAUGUCAUCAAUAAAAUUGAAUAUACAAGCCUUUGUGUGUGAUAUACUCAUCAUCAUGUAGUUAAAUAAAAACCAUGUAGAUUAAUCAUCAAAAUGAUGCGCGCAGAGAAAGUAUAUUGGUGACUGAGCAGAACGGUAAAUUAGUAUAUUGUCUUGUGUACUAUAUUAUUUGAGGUAGGCCCCAAUAAUUUUACAUUGAGGUUUUAUAGAGAGAGAAAAAAAUCAUAUUUACAAAUUACACAAAGUAUUGGUACUGGUAGACCCGUUGAAUGAAGUUGAACCCUACAUGGCCUUAAAAGCCCACAAAGUCUCUCUGAAACCCUAACAGCAACACUUGGUUACAAACACCUUUGCUUUGCCAUUAAAGUCAUAGUCAUAUGCUUCAGAGAUGAAUUGGCUUUUGGUGAAGGGACCAUUAACCUCUCUCUUUCUCUGCUUCUUAAUUCCUCCUUUUCUUCGAUGCAACUCCUCCACUACUCUUUUAUCCAUGUAUCUUUCUUUUUAAGAACAAAAUAUUUUUUUUAUAUUAAAUGUAUCUAUCUAUACGUUCUCGUACAUUGCUUCUUCUUUCUUUAAUUUAAAUAUGUGUUUACUAAUUGACAUGAUAGGUUAUAUAAAUAUGCACUACAUGAAAAACAAACCCUUAACGGUAUGGAAAUUGUAAAAAAAAAAUUGAGAAUGAUCGAAAUGGUAAUUUCGUAGACACUUUUAUGUCGUAUCUUAUACGUUAUUUGAAUAAUAAGUACUAGGUAAUAAUCUGCGCCUUGCGCGGAAUGUGAUUAUUAGUUUUGUUAUUUUUAAUAAAAAAAAAACAAAUCUAUUUAAUCUGGAUAUCGGUUCGGUUUUAAGUUAUUUUUUUUGUUUUUAAUCUCCUAAAAUAUAACUAUUAUUUUAAAUUAAUAUUUAUUUUGGUUUAUUCUGUUAGAACGUUUGUUUUUUAGUUUUUUCGGUAAAAUCCAAAAAUUAUUAUUAUUUAUUUAUUUUCAUGUUAUAAAUUUUAGAUAAUCGUCAUGUUGAACCAAUGGUUUCAUAGUUUCUAAUUUAAGAAAAAAAAUUAUUAAGACAAAUCAUUUUACUAUAAUUUGGUCGGUAGUGAAAGAAACAUUAAGAAAAAAAAUGUUUCAACUUCCAAAAAAAAAUUGAUACUUCACUGGUGGUAAAUACUUACACAGUGUUCACAUCAAGGUGCACAUGCAUAUGUAUGUAAAAGUAUAUAAAAAUAAAUGAUAAAUAUAUAAAUAUAUUGUUAAUUAGUAUUAAAUAACAUUUUUGUUCUAAAUAAUACAUGAAAGAUAAAAUUAAAAUUAAUUAAAAAUUAAAAAGGCUUUGACUCUGAUAUCCGAAAUGAUUUAGAAUUUUAAAGAAUAUCUGAUUUGAUCCGUAAAUAAAAUAAAAUUUAAAAAAUAAUUGAAAAUUUUAAUAAUAACAUUUUAUUACAAAAAUAAAAUAUUAUUUAACUUUUUAAAUUUUAAUACCUAAUAUAAUAAAUUUAAUCCAUAAAAAUAUUGUAAAACUUAUAUAAACUAUAAUAUAUAUAACAUAUAUAUAUAUAUAUAAUUCUGUACAUAUAUGUAUAUAUAUGCAUAUAACAGAUCAAAUUUGAUAUCCGUUUCUAAAAAUAUUGGUAUUUGUGAUUUGUUUUUUUUAAUUGUAUUUUAGUAGUUGAUUUACUUCGUAGAGUUACGAUGUCCAUAUUUUUUGGUUCAAAUCAAAACGGAUAAUGAAUUGAAUCAAAACUUAUAAAUAUUUUGCCCAACUUUAUCCGUAAACAAUAAAAAUAAUAUAUAUAUAUAUAUAUAUAGUUUAGCUUUUGAUUCGUUAUUUGUUUUGAUUCGAACCGAAAAAUCCAAAGUUUUAUUUGAACCAUGCACAUAAGUUUUAUAUUAAAAAAAUAAAAAAGUAUAUAGUGUGAACACAUUUAUGAAUAUAGUGUGAACGCGUUAACAUAUUUAUUAUCAAAUCAUUGUGAGGCUGCCACGUGUAUAUUAUAGUGUGAAUGCAUUUAUUACAAUGCUUCUCCUUUAAUAUAUAAGGGAUAAUAAUUGCCGCAAUCAUAUAAGAUUGUAGCUCAUACCCAAAAUUGUAAACAAUAUAUGAUAUAAAUUAGAUUGUCAAUUAAAUCUAAUUAAACAUAAUAACCUAUAUAUAUAGUUACCACAGAAAAUAUCUAGAUGAUAAGCCCUAUAAAAUUGUGGUGUUGAUAUUUUUUAAACCACAUAGACAAUUAUAAUAUUAUAAUAAAAUAAUAUAAUUUAUUAUUUCUAUAUUAUAAUAACUAAUAUAUUAUAUUAUAAAAUCUUAUACUAAAAAAAAUAUAAUUUCCGACCACCAGGCCGUGAGACUUUCCCAGGUGAUGUUUUCUAUUUACAUUCUCGUCUCUUAGAAAGAGCGGCUAAACGAUCGGUUUUUAUCAUUUGUGAAUAGAAAUAGUUAAUAUUAAAUAUAAAAUAUAUUUAGUAGAUUGUUUAUAAAUUGUUACAAUUUAUGAAUGCAUAAAAUGUUUAACUAAUAAUCUAGACAUCUGUUUAAUCGUUAUAAAUCUUAGGGGUUAACACAUGUUAUGGUUGGCACGAUCCCACAUGAAUGAACUGAACUAGACUUGAAUUUUAAAACCACAAGACCUAUCAUAAACGGACCGGAUUGAAUUAGCUACUUAAUUAGCUUAUAAUCACAAGAUUCACAACACAUUUGAUAUACGAAACAAUUAUAUAUUUGCAUGAAAGCUGAAAUGAAAACAAAAUUAAAGAUUUAGAUUUUAGGGGACAAGCAUAUCUUGUACCAUUAUGACAUUGUAACUCACAAGCUAUAAUAUACAUCAAUUUAUGGUGAUAAAUAAGUAACAUAUUAAUAGCAUACAUCGGCUUCUUAACAACAAACGCAAGCAAAGUUAAAGAACAUGAGCCCACCGGUCUAUUUAAGAGUUAGAUACUCUAGAUGCUAACUCUAUAGUACAUAGGCAAUCGUUAUCAACUGAAUUUUUUUAGUUUUGUUAGACCCUAAUAUAAUGCAUACUACUUGUAGAGAAACAUUACAAGACAUAAUUUUUAUCACAACGUUUUGGAAUCCUAGAAAAAAAAUAGCGAGUUUUAAUUGUGUUUUUUUGUGGACCACCAUUUAUAUAACUACGAAUGGAGAAAGCAUCUUUUCAGAGUCUGCAUUAACGAUGUUAGAUGUAUGUGGGGAAGCUUUCUAUAGAUUGUCAUAUAUGUCUCCCAUCUCUUGUCAAUUUCAUUUUCAUUCAAACAAUACCUAUCUUGUUGACUUGAAACUUUCACGUUUUGGUCAACACCCCAGCUAUUUGCUCAUGAUUAAGCAUCACUGGAAGAACUUCCGAAACGAUUGAGAAAUAAGAGGUAAAGAAAAGAAAACGGAUCAUUCUUGUAUGUACGGAUUUUGACUUUUUGGGCUUAGGCCCAGUCAAGUCCAAUGAUUUUUUAAAAAAUGUGAUCAGAUCUAUAUUGGGCUUAGGCAUAAUGAGAUCAAAAAUUCAAAUGGUUACACUCCCACGAUGCUACUGGCAAGACAAUCUCAUAGACUAUAUUUGCGAAGUGAUUUUGCCUUAUGUCCUCUAUACAAUCAUUUUUACAAAAAAAUAAUGACAUAGUUAACAAAAUUGAUGACAUUGCUUAUAGUUAAUAUGACAUGGACAAUCACAUUUAUUAUUCACAUAUAUUUUUGGUAAACUUUAUAGAAUAUAACAAUAACUAAUGCAAUAUAUUUAAUGUUGAUUUAUAUUUUUGGUAAACUUCUUAAAAGAUGGUAAUAACUCAUAAAUCAUCAGUAAAAUAAAUAUAUUGAAAUAUGUAUUAUAAAUGUCGAAAUAUUAUUUAAUUUUUUUUAUAAUUAUACAAUUUUUAUUACUAAUAUUUUUAAAAUUUUCUACAUCUAUUUUAAAAAAAUUAAUAAAUUGUUAAUCGUAAUUUCAUUAGUUUCUUUUAGAUAUCUACAAAUUUUAUAAAUAUUGUUUAGUUAUAAUUUUUAAAUAACUAUACAAUUUUUAUAUGAUUUUUUAGUAAUUUUAUACAAGUUGAUAUAAUAUAUUUAACCAAAAUAAAUAGAUAAAAAAUUAUCUAAGAUUCGAAUUUUAAAUAUAUUACAUAUAUAUUAUUAAAUGUACUUUAAAAGAAACAAAAUUAUUUUUUUUCUUAAUUUUAUUAUUAAAUAAUCAACUUUAUAUUAAUAUUAGUCAAAAAUAAUAAAAUAUAUAAUAUUAAUAAAUUUUAUUUUUAAUAUAAUUUAAUUUUUUAAAAAUUUAUCACUGCACAUGGUGCAAGAAAACACCUAAUAACACUAAAAGAGGUUUGUGAUGCACUGAUGGUGGUUGCUAGGACUAGAAGAAGAGUUAAGAACAUAAGGAGAAGAUGAACAACAAGAGUAGACAUGGUGGAAGAUUGCUAUAGUUACAAAAGUCAACUAUUUUUUUCAGUCUUUAUGUUGUCAAAAGGUGAUUAUGGUUUCUGUUGUGUACAAAAGCUUGCAUAAUAUAUACAAAAAACAGAGUAGUUAUUUUAUUUUGUGUUGACACCAAAACAUAGUUAAUAUAUUUGUUUACUCACAGCAAAAACAAGCAGUACGUGCUAACAAGCAAACUCUCCUAAAAUAUUUGAAAUGUUAAGUGAACUAUAAUCAUAGAAAGAAAAAGAAGAGUUGGAAAGAUUCGAAACAGAGAACUGUUUUAUUAAAAAUAGGAAAACGUUGGAGGC